AAAACCAUAAUUAUACACAGUUGCAUUAGCUGAGAUAAUCAGAAAUCUAGGGAACUCAUAAAGAGCCCAAAUAUUACAUCAUGGCAUCAGAAAGACUGCCAAAAAUUACAAACAUCAAACAGAAAAACAACAGAUCAUCCAAGCAUCCAAAAUAGCAUCCAGAAAAACAUCAUUAACAGGGGGGCCAUCACCACAACUUAGUCUGAGGAGGUAGCAUCUUCUUC
This 224-nucleotide long non-coding RNA is filed under the name Lathyrus oleraceus (garden pea). Its description in RNAcentral is "Pisum sativum (pea) long non-coding RNA (PSAT_LNC037356)". The record is from RNAcentral. Lineage: Eukaryota; Viridiplantae; Streptophyta; Magnoliopsida; Fabales; Fabaceae.